AUGCGUGCUGCGACCCCUGGCCUGCCAGCAGGAGCGGAGCGCGCGCCUGGGGGAAUCUUCGGUGCGCCAAGUCUGUUCGCCGCCCGGGUCUAUCACCCCCGCCCCUCGCCUCUGCCCGCGCGCGUGUGAGUUGUAGCGUCCCCUGGGUUCUGUUCUGGAGGAGGCCUGAGAGCGGGGUUGCCUGGGGGGUGGGGCCCUCACCCCUCUCGUCGUGGUGAAGAGGCGUAUACCCAGCGGGUGAGUACCGCCCGCGAGCUCCCGGUUGAGCUGGCGUCCCCGGGGAGGACGCUGCGGGGCGCCGCCGUGGGAAGAGCGUGGAGGACGCAGCGUGGAGGCGCGAGGCCGUAGGACGCCAGCCAGCCAGUUGCGCGGGUUGCGGCGCACUGGGACCUACUUUAUGCUUUCCGUCGUCCCUGCCUUGCUAGGAAAAGAGAACAUUCCUCCUUGUGAUAUUGGGUACCUGGCUCUCUCCUGAAGACGCUGCUUUCCCAGCAAUUCACCACAGCGAAAGUCUGCCACCGCCCCCGCGGCGCAGGUGGUAUCUGUAUUUGUUGUCUUAUGGCCAUUGCUAGGCCAUUCCAUUCCACCCUUGUAAACCUUAGCAGAAACUCUUCUCUAAUGAGCCCUUUUCCCUCUCCUCACUGUUAUUUACCAGCUGCCUGGUCACUCAUGUUCAUUAAGGAAUUUAGUACCCAACUCAGUUUUUUUUUUUUUUUUUUUUUGGGACGGAGCCUCUAUCAGCCCAGUUUGGAGUACAGUGGUGCAAUCUUAGCUUGCCGCAACCUCCGCCUCCCAGUUUAUCCUGUAAUGACAGUAGCAUUUACAGAAAGUUUCUGUUGGAAAUAGAAAAAAAAAAAA
Molecule: long non-coding RNA, 858 nt
Filed under: Macaca mulatta (Rhesus monkey)
Lineage: Eukaryota; Metazoa; Chordata; Mammalia; Primates; Cercopithecidae
Description: lncRNA (ENSMMUG00000050840.1)
Source: RNAcentral